GAGGGGCUGGUCGUGGGUGGAUCACGUGCCAACCCGGUCAGGUUCGAGAGAAAGCAGCCGUAACAUGUUUCGAUUCGGGUCGCGGCUCAGCCCCUCACU
RNAcentral lists this signal recognition particle RNA (99 nucleotides) under Alphaproteobacteria bacterium. RNAcentral's name for it is "signal recognition particle sRNA small type". It matches the Rfam family "Bacterial small signal recognition particle RNA". From Rfam's summary of the family: The signal recognition particle (SRP) is a universally conserved ribonucleoprotein involved in the co-translational targeting of proteins to membranes. Archaeal SRP consists of a 7S RNA and homologues of the eukaryotic SRP19 and SRP54 proteins. In most bacteria, the SRP consists of a 4.5S RNA and the Ffh protein (a homologue of the eukaryotic SRP54 protein). RNAcentral also lists the same sequence under 1 other name. Lineage: Bacteria; Pseudomonadati; Pseudomonadota; Alphaproteobacteria. The record is from RNAcentral.